AGUGAACGCUGGCGGUAGGCCUAACACAUGCAAGUCGAACGGCAGCACAGGAGAGCUUGCUCUCUGGGUGGCGAGUGGCGGACGGGUGAGGAAUACAUCGGAAUCUACUCUGUCGUGGGGGAUAACGUAGGGAAACUUACGCUAAUACCGCAUACGACCUACGGGUGAAAGCAGGGGACCUUCGGGCCUUGCGCGAUUGAAUGAGCCGAUGUCGGAUUAGCUAGUUGGCGGGGAAAAGGCCCACCAAGGCGACGAUCCGUAGCUGGUCUGAGAGGAGGAUGAGCCACACUGGAACUGAGACACGGUCCAGACUCCUACGGGAGGAAGCAGUGGGGAAUAUUGGACAAGGGGCGCAAGCCUGAUCCAGCCAUACCGCGUGGGUGAAGAAGGCCUUCGGGUUGUAAAGCCCUUUUGUUGGGAAAGAAAUCCAGCUGGCUAAUACCCGGUUGGGAUGACGGUACCCAAAGAAUAAGCACCGGCUAACUUCGUGCCAGCCGCCGCCGUAA
This 506-nucleotide ribosomal RNA is filed under the name uncultured bacterium. RNAcentral's name for it is "partial 16S ribosomal RNA". It matches the Rfam family "Bacterial small subunit ribosomal RNA", at positions 29 to 523 of the family's 1533-position model. The record is from RNAcentral.